CUAUACACAUAAUAUUAUACCUUUUGGUCUGUAUGGAUUCGAUUUCAACAAUUUUACCGCAUUGGGCAUUACGUAGGUAUAUAAUUGAAUUACCGGAAGCCUGAGACUCAAGUCCUGAUUAAUUUAAUUAAGAUUUAGUUACGGUCACAAUAAUUUCAUAGAUACCUACAUGUUUUGUUCUUUCCAACAAUAACUAACGAACUGACACUUCGGUCUUACUACAAUCGGGUUAUCAUCAUUUGUUGUCAGAUAAAUUACUAUCAUUAAUACAUAUUGUGAUAAACUAUUUAUUAUUUUAACCAGAAUAUUUUAUUGUACAAUCUUUAUACUC
This is a non-coding RNA of Cinara cedri, 331 nucleotides long. The record is from the annotation of a GenBank genome assembly. NCBI's taxonomy places the organism in Eukaryota, Metazoa, Arthropoda, Insecta, Hemiptera, Aphididae.